Molecule: ribosomal RNA, 490 nt
Filed under: uncultured bacterium
Lineage: Bacteria
Description: partial 16S ribosomal RNA
Rfam family: Bacterial small subunit ribosomal RNA
Source: RNAcentral
AUUGAACGCUGGCGGCAGGCCUAACACAUGCAAGUCGAACGGUAACAGGAAGAAGCUUGCUUCUUUGCUGACGAGUGGCGGACGGGUGAGUAAUGUCUGGGAAACUGCCUGAUGGAGGGGGAUAACUACUGGAAACGGUAGCUAAUACCGCAUAACGUCGCAAGACCAAAGAGGGGGACCUUCGGGCCCCUUGCCAUCGGAUGUGCCCAGAUGGGAUUAGCUAGUAGGUGGGGUAACGGCUCACCUAGGCGACGAUCCCUAGCUGGUCUGAGAGGAUGACCAGCCACACUGGAACUGAGACACGGUCCAGACUCCUACGGGAGGCAGCAGUGGGGAAUAUUGCACAAUGGGCGCAAGCCUGAUGCAGCCAUGCCGCGUGUAUGAAGAAGGCCUUCGGGUUGUAAAGUACUUUCAGCGGGGAGGAAGAGAGUAAAGUUAAUACCUUUGCUCAUUGACGUUACCCGCAGAAGAAGCACCGGCUAACUCCGUG